RNAcentral lists this long non-coding RNA (529 nucleotides) under Lytechinus variegatus (green sea urchin). RNAcentral's name for it is "uncharacterized LOC121412654". The record is from RNAcentral. Lineage: Eukaryota; Metazoa; Echinodermata; Echinoidea; Temnopleuroida; Toxopneustidae.
GCUGAUUAUUCUCAUAAAUUCAUGAUGUGAAUGAUGUUUAUGUUAAAUUCAUAGUUGUUUUCAUUAUACUUUUCAUUUAUACUGAAUCUAGUGAUAUGUCAUAAAUAUUUGUGAUGUUGUGGAAGGAUAUUUACAUCAGAUAGCGUUCAAGUGUAGGUGGCGCGAAAGAAUAAGCGUUUAUGUUGUUACGACGGUAGGAUAAAUCAGAAAGCGAUUUGUGACGACAGUGUACGUUAGGGGUACUAUGUUCGUUCUUCCAAGUCAAGUUCGACAAGGAGGCAUGGAAUUUCAUUUGACGUACUACCAUGUAUGAGUGAUGCCGAGUGAGGUCUCCAGAGGGUGAUUGGUGGAUGUACCCUUGUUUUCUCUUGGCCUAUAGUAGGGGGUUUGUUUUCCCUGUUUUGCAUGAUCCACCGGCUGUCAAUAAAUGGCUGACCCACCCCUACUUCUUGUCUAUGGUUCUAUGGUUUUCCUGACUGAGUACCCAACCCCCAACCCAUACUACCACCCAAGCCCAGUUUACUACAGU